AUGCCUCAAGAUUCGCGCCCGCCAGGGAUGCGCCUCUUCGGCGUCACCAUUGCGCCGGCGCCGGCGCCGCAGUUGGAUCCCCCGGACGGUGACCGGGAUCCGAGCCCCAACCCACCGGUGGCGGCGAGGGAGGACGUGAUGCGCAAGUGCAAGAGCAUGGGCAACCUGGCCGCCCUCGCCUCAGCCUGCCCCUCCGGGGACGCUGGAGGCGCGGGCGACGGGUACCUCUCCGACGGCGGCCUUCUGCAGUCGUCCGGCAAGCGGCGGAGGGCGCAGGAGAGAAAGAAAGCUGUCCCUUGGACUGAAGAAGAGCAUAGGACAUUUCUUGCUGGUCUCGAAAAGCUGGGGAAGGGAGACUGGAGGGGUAUAGCAAAAAAUUUCGUUACUACCAGGACACCAACUCAAGUGGCCAGUCAUGCUCAGAAAUAUUUUCUCAGACAAACUAAUCCAAACAAGAAGAAGCGCAGGUCUAGCCUUUUCGAUAUGAUGGCAAGCGAUUUGUCACCAGCACCAAAUUGCCCCAUCUUACCACCAACAAUGGCAAAAUUUCAUGAUAUGGUAACUAUGACUAAUCAACUCCAGAACAGCAGCUUGGAAGGAGUAUCAUCUUCGAAUGCAGCUAAUCUAGCAAAACAAGUUACAAGAGAUCUUCCUCCCCCAGUUCCAUCUUUUACGGCAACAAAUGUGGAUGGAAGUCUCAGCAAAAUGAACCACAUGGAUUGCUUCUCGCGGGUACCCUCGCUGUUCAGACCAAUUCCAAUAGUCCCUGAAGGGACACCUCCAUCAGCUCCCGCGACUGCCAACACAAGUGCCCUGACAUUUGAAGCUAACCUGACUUCAUGUACUAGCGCAUUCCUGAUCCCGCAAAGCGGUCCUUCACCAUUGCCUCCUGCGACGGCUGCGAAGACAGAUCAUGCAGCAGAGAACAAGGAUCUGGAGCUGACGGUUGGCCUGCCCUCCCAACAAAACAUGACCAACAACAUUUCUUCCCGGAAUGCAGUAGGCGUGAUCCAAGUUGUUUAA
RNAcentral lists this ribosomal RNA (1023 nucleotides) under Triticum aestivum (bread wheat). RNAcentral describes it as "partial small subunit ribosomal RNA". The record is from RNAcentral. Lineage: Eukaryota; Viridiplantae; Streptophyta; Magnoliopsida; Poales; Poaceae.